UACGAAGGGUGCGGGCGUUAUUCGUUUUGAUUGGGUGUAAAGGGUGCGUAGGCGGGUGAUGUAAGUUCUGGCCAAAAGUGCGGAGUAUUCCUACGCAAUGGUCUUUUCUAGACUCAUCUUGUGUUGAAGAGAGGUUUCGGUGCAAUAUCUCAUGAAGGGGUAAGAUCCCGCGAUAUGAGGUCGAACGCCAAGCGGCGGAGGCAACCUUCUAGCUUCAACAGACGCUGAGUGGUAUCGAAAGCGGCGAGCAUAAACAGG
This 258-nucleotide unclassified non-coding RNA is filed under the name uncultured bacterium. Its description in RNAcentral is "contains 16S-23S intergenic spacer region". It matches the Rfam family "Bacterial small subunit ribosomal RNA", at positions 524 to 776 of the family's 1533-position model. The record is from RNAcentral.